CCUACGGGCGGCAGCAGUGGGGGAUAUUGCACAAUGGGGGGAACCCUGAUGCAGCGACGCCGCGUGGGUGAAGGAGUAUUUCGGUAUGUAAAGCCCUAUCGGCAGGGAAGAAUGGAGACGGGACCGGACGAAGAAGCCCAGGCUAACUACGUGCCAGCAGCCGCGGUAAUACGUCGGGGGCAAGCGUGAGCCGGAGUCACUGGGUGUAAAGGGAGCGUAGACGGCCAGGCAAGCCUGGAGUGACAGCCCGGGGCCCCACCCCGGGACUGCUCUGGGAACGGUCCGGCUGGAGUGCGGGGGGGGCAGGCGGAGUUCCUGGUGUAGCGGUGAAAUGCGUCGGUCUCAGGAGG
This 350-nucleotide ribosomal RNA is filed under the name uncultured bacterium. RNAcentral describes it as "partial 16S ribosomal RNA". It matches the Rfam family "Bacterial small subunit ribosomal RNA", at positions 338 to 704 of the family's 1533-position model. The record is from RNAcentral.